This 253-nucleotide ribosomal RNA is filed under the name uncultured bacterium. RNAcentral's name for it is "partial 16S ribosomal RNA". It matches the Rfam family "Bacterial small subunit ribosomal RNA", at positions 524 to 776 of the family's 1533-position model. The record is from RNAcentral.
UACGUAGGGUGCAAGCGUUAAUCGGAAUUACUGGGCGUAAAGCGUGCGCAGGCGGUUUUGUAAGUCUGACGUGAAAGCCCCGGGCUCAACCUGGGAAUUGCGUUGGAGACUGCAAGGCUUGAAUCUGGCAGAGGGGGCUAGAAUUCCACGUGUAGCAGUGAAAUGCGUAGAGAUGUGGAGGAACACCGAUGGCGAAGGCAGCCCCCUGGGUCAAGAUUGACGCUCAUGCACGAAAGCGUGGGGAGCAAACAGG